This 213-nucleotide unclassified non-coding RNA is filed under the name Hevea brasiliensis (rubber tree). Lineage: Eukaryota; Viridiplantae; Streptophyta; Magnoliopsida; Malpighiales; Euphorbiaceae. The record is from RNAcentral.
UAUUACUCUUAUUUCGUUCGAUUGUUCCCGGGCUUUUCCACGCCCUUCUGUUUCCGGACUUUGAUGCUUUCUGUUGCGGAUUUCCAGAUUUUCUUUCCCUAACUACUUUUUUCGGAUAAUUCGGCGAUGUGCGGAUCAAUCUUCGAUCGAUUCUUGGAUUUGGAUUCUGGAUUAGAGAUUCUGUCUGGGAUUUUCAGCUAUGUUUGAUUGGAA